AUGGGUCGCGCCCGCCUCGCUGCUAUGGUCUACCUCGCUGCACCCCCGUGUUGCCGUGCUUCUGCGCGCCGUGGAGCUCUUGCACGCCGCUGUGCUCCACAUCGCAGCCUUGCGCUGCCGCGCCGCAGCACGCCACGACCACGAGUGGUGACUUGCAGAAAGUCCAGAGGGAAGGGAUCUACAUAUGCGUGGCGGGUUGGCGGCGCCGGCUCUCUUAGGUGCUGCAACGUCGAAGUCCAAAGCCACCUGCUACAGGGAUGGUUUGGAGAUAAAACAGGCACAUGCCUUGAGAAAACAAAACAAAACAACAUCCUUCGAGCAUCUAUGUACACCGCUCUUCUACGCUGCAUAGAAAAGGGAACACCAUCAGUUUAUGUUAUAACUGGUAAGUAA
This 393-nucleotide ribosomal RNA is filed under the name Triticum aestivum (bread wheat). Its description in RNAcentral is "partial small subunit ribosomal RNA". Lineage: Eukaryota; Viridiplantae; Streptophyta; Magnoliopsida; Poales; Poaceae. The record is from RNAcentral.